CCUUCUACACUUAAAUCUGACCAGCUAAUUCAAUGCGUUGGCGAUCACAGAAGCAUGAAGGCCAAGGGAAGAGACGGUUGUGGUGGCACAGAGAGGCUCAGUGGCCACUUGAACAAGGAGACUCUUCAUCUUUCUUAGCUGAAGUCAAGAAGCAGAUUGCUGAUUUAGUCGUACAUGGGAGCAGGUCGCUGAUGGCCUCAAAACAUCAUCCACACCCAUUAGAAGGAUAGCUGACAAUUCCCAAGGAAUUAACUUAGAUACCAAGUCCCCCUGCUGAGGAACAUCUCAAUCUCAUAGUCUCUGCCAUUCCAAUCCUGGAAGAUGGAGCUGUCCACAGUUGACUAAUUCUUUGCCAGACAUGUGGAUGAGCUGUAGAUAUCCAAUGAAUCAGAAUCCCAAUCCACAGGUGUCAGAAGAUCAAAAUCCAACAAGAUCAUCUUAGAUCAUCUGCUCCAAAUCUUCUUCCAACUCUCUAGGUGAUCUCAAUAUAUGUAUCUUAAGGGCACUAACGAUGAAGUAGUCACAGUCCCCAUGAACGUUAAGAUGCAUGCAUCAAUUCCAGGGCCUGCUUCCAUGGUUUCAUCACCAUGAGUAGACUCGAGGACAGCUCCUGUCGGCUUAGCUUCUCUGUCAAAUGAGAUCAGUUGGCCAUUGCCGAAGCUUUAAGCAGUGGGACUGUUUCCCAUAUUUACUUGAUACAACAUGAACUUUGGCACAUAAGCCUUAGGCAAUCGUGGAUUUCUUGUUAUGAGUAUAUGAUUACCGAUGCUCUAGGG
Musa acuminata AAA Group (dessert banana) is the source of this 776-nucleotide long non-coding RNA. RefSeq lists it as uncharacterized. The record is from RefSeq and is a predicted model, not a curated record. The transcript has 3 exons. Lineage: Eukaryota; Viridiplantae; Streptophyta; Magnoliopsida; Zingiberales; Musaceae.